UUAAGCGACUAAGCGUACACGGUGGAUGCCCUGGCAGUCAGAGGCGAUGAAGGACGUGCUAAUCUGCGAAAAGCGCCGGCGAGGUGAUAUGAACCUUUGACCCGGCGAUGUCCGAAUGGGGAAACCCAGUGUGUUCCGACACACUAUCGUUAACUGAAUACAUAGGUUAACGAGGCGAACCGGGGGAACUGAAACAUCUAAGUACCCCGAGGAAAAGAAAUCAACCGAGAUUCCCCCAGUAGCGGCGAGCGAACGGGGAGCAGCCCAGAGUCUGAAUCAGCUUGUGUGUUAGUGGAAGCGUCUGGAAAGUCGCACGGUACAGGGUGACAGUCCCGUACACGAAAGCACACAGGCUGUGAACUCGAAGAGUAGGGCGGGACACGUGGUAUCCUGUCUGAAUAUGGGGGGACCAUCCUCCAAGGCUAAAUACUCCUGACUGACCGAUAGUGAACCAGUACCGUGAGGGAAAGGCGAAAAGAACCCCGGCGAGGGGAGUGAAAAAGAACCUGAAACCGUGUACGUACAAGCAGUGGGAGCCUCUUUUAUGGGGUGACUGCGUACCUUUUGUAUAAUGGGUCAGCGACUUAUAUUCUGUAGCAAGGUUAACCGUAUAGGGGAGCCGAAGGGAAACCGAGUCUUAACUGGGCGUUAAGUUGCAGGGUAUAGACCCGAAACCCGGUGAUCUAGCCAUGGGCAGGUUGAAGGUUGGGUAACACUAACUGGAGGACCGAACCGACUAAUGUUGAAAAAUUAGCGGAUGACUUGUGGCUGGGGGUGAAAGGCCAAUCAAACCGGGAGAUAGCUGGUUCUCCCCGAAAGCUAUUUAGGUAGCGCCUCGUGAACUCAUCUUCGGGGGUAGAGCACUGUUUCGGCUAGGGGGCCAUCCCGGCUUACCAACCCGAUGCAAACUACGAAUACCGAAGAAUGUUAUCACGGGAGACACACGGCGGGUGCUAACGUCCGUCGUGAAGAGGGAAACAACCCAGACCGCCAGCUAAGGUCCCAAAGUCAUGGUUAAGUGGGAAACGAUGUGGGAAGGCACAGACAGCCAGGAUGUUGGCUUAGAAGCAGCCAUCAUUUAAAGAAAGCGUAAUAGCUCACUGGUCGAGUCGGCCUGCGCGGAAGAUGUAACGGGGCUAAACCAUGCACCGAAGCUGCGGCAGCGACGCUUAUGCGUUGUUGGGUAGGGGAGCGUUCUGUAAGCCGUUGAAGGUGUCCUGUGAGGGGUGCUGGAGGUAUCAGAAGUGCGAAUGCUGACAUAAGUAACGAUAAAGCGGGUGAAAAGCCCGCUCGCCGGAAGACCAAGGGUUCCUGUCCAACGUUAAUCGGGGCAGGGUGAGUCGACCCCUAAGGCGAGGCCGAAAGGCGUAGUCGAUGGGAAACAGGUUAAUAUUCCUGUACUUGGUGUUACUGCGAAGGGGGGACGGAGAAGGCUAUGUUAGCCGGGCGACGGUUGUCCCGGUUUAAGCAUGUAGGCGGAGGUUCCAGGUAAAUCCGGUUCCUUGUUAACGCUGAGGUGUGAUGACGAGGCACUACGGUGCUGAAGUAACAAAUGCCCUGCUUCCAGGAAAAGCCUCUAAGCAUCAGGUAACACGAAAUCGUACCCCAAACCGACACAGGUGGUCAGGUAGAGAAUACCAAGGCGCUUGAGAGAACUCGGGUGAAGGAACUAGGCAAAAUGGUGCCGUAACUUCGGGAGAAGGCACGCUGAUAUGUAGGUGAAGCCCCUGCGGGUGGAGCUGAAAUCAGUCGAAGAUACCAGCUGGCUGCAACUGUUUAUUAAAAACACAGCACUGUGCAAACACGAAAGUGGACGUAUACGGUGUGACGCCUGCCCGGUGCCGGAAGGUUAAUUGAUGGGGUUAGCGGUAACGCGAAGCUCUUGAUCGAAGCCCCGGUAAACGGCGGCCGUAACUAUAACGGUCCUAAGGUAGCGAAAUUCCUUGUCGGGUAAGUUCCGACCUGCACGAAUGGCGUAAUGAUGGCCAGGCUGUCUCCACCCGAGACUCAGUGAAAUUGAACUCGCUGUGAAGAUGCAGUGUACCCGCGGCAAGACGGAAAGACCCCGUGAACCUUUACUAUAGCUUGACACUGAACACUGGUCCUUGAUGUGUAGGAUAGGUGGGAGGCUUUGAAGCGUGGACGCCAGUCUGCGUGGAGCCAACCUUGAAAUACCACCCUUUAAUGGCUGGUGUUCUAACGUAGACCCGUGAUCCGGGUUGCGGACAGUGUCUGGUGGGUAGUUUGACUGGGGCGGUCUCCUCCCAAAGAGUAACGGAGGAGCACGAAGGUUAGCUAAUCCUGGUCGGACAUCAGGAGGUUAGUGCAAUGGCAUAAGCUAGCUUGACUGCGAGAGUGACGGCUCGAGCAGGUGCGAAAGCAGGUCAUAGUGAUCCGGUGGUUCUGAAUGGAAGGGCCAUCGCUCAACGGAUAAAAGGUACUCCGGGGAUAACAGGCUGAUACCGCCCAAGAGUUCAUAUCGACGGCGGUGUUUGGCACCUCGAUGUCGGCUCAUCACAUCCUGGGGCUGAAGUAGGUCCCAAGGGUAUGGCUGUUCGCCAUUUAAAGUGGUACGCGAGCUGGGUUUAGAACGUCGUGAGACAGUUCGGUCCCUAUCUGCCGUGGGCGCUGGAGAAUUGAGGGGGGCUGCUCCUAGUACGAGAGGACCGGAGUGGACGCAUCACUGGUGUUCGGGUUGUCAUGCCAAUGGCACUGCCCGGUAGCUAAAUGCGGAAGAGAUAAGUGCUGAAAGCAUCUAAGCACGAAACUUGCCCCGAGAUGAGUUCUCCCUGAGACUUUAAGUCUCCUGAAGGAACGUUGAAGACUACGACGUUGAUAGGUCGGGUGUGUAAGCGCAGCGAUGCGUUGAGCUAACCGAUACUAAUGAACCGUGAGGCUUAACCUU
Molecule: ribosomal RNA, 2905 nt
Filed under: Enterobacter sp. BIDMC 30
Lineage: Bacteria; Pseudomonadati; Pseudomonadota; Gammaproteobacteria; Enterobacterales; Enterobacteriaceae
Description: bacterial LSU rRNA
Rfam family: Bacterial large subunit ribosomal RNA
Source: RNAcentral